GAUGAACGCUGACAGAAUGCUUAACACAUGCAAGUCAGCUUGAACUUCGGUUUGGGUGGCGGACGGGUGAGUAACGCGUAAAGAACUUGCCUCACAGAUAGGGACAACAUUUGGAAACGAAUGCUAAUACCUGAUAUUAUGAUUUUAGGGCAUCCUAGAAUUAUGAAAGCUAUAUGCGCUGUGAGAGAGCUUUGCGUCCCAUUAGCUAGUUGGAGAGGUAACGGCUCACCAAGGCGAUGAUGGGUAGCCGGCCUGAGAGGGUGAUCGGCCACAAGGGGACUGAGACACGGCCCUUACUCCUACGGGAGGCAGCAGUGGGGAAUAUUGGACAAUGGACCAAGAGUCUGAUCCAGCAAUUCUGUGUGCACGAUGAAGUUUUUCGGAAUGUAAAGUGCUUUCAGUUGGGAAGAAAAAAAUGACGGUACCAACAGAAGAAGUGACGGCUAAAUACGUGCCAGCAGCCGCGGUAAUACGUAUGUCACAAGCGUUAUCCGGAUUUAUUGGGCGUAAAGCGCGUCUAGGUGGUUAUGUAAGUCUGAUGUGAAAAUGCAGGGCUCAACUCUGUAUUGCGUUGGAAACUGUGUAACUAGAGUACUGGAGAGGUAAGCGGAACUACAAGUGUAGAGGUGAAAUUCGUAGAUAUUUGUAGGAAUGCCGGUGGGGAAGCCAGCUUACUGGACAGAUACUGACGCUGAAGCGCGAAAGCGUGGGUAGCAAACAGG
This 722-nucleotide ribosomal RNA is filed under the name uncultured Fusobacterium sp. RNAcentral describes it as "bacterial SSU rRNA". It matches the Rfam family "Bacterial small subunit ribosomal RNA", at positions 28 to 776 of the family's 1533-position model. The record is from RNAcentral. Lineage: Bacteria; Fusobacteriati; Fusobacteriota; Fusobacteriia; Fusobacteriales; Fusobacteriaceae.